Molecule: ribosomal RNA, 315 nt
Filed under: Triticum aestivum (bread wheat)
Lineage: Eukaryota; Viridiplantae; Streptophyta; Magnoliopsida; Poales; Poaceae
Description: partial small subunit ribosomal RNA
Source: RNAcentral
GACAUCUUCGGGCAAUGGUUGAACAAAUUUAGUAAAAAUAAUAAAAACCUCAUGAUUGUUGGUAUCUCGGCGAUGUUAUGGACAAUGUGGAAAUUGAGAAAUAGACUAGUGUUUGAUAAUCAUAGGGUUUAUGACCCCUGUGUUCCUGUUAACUUGAUUAUUAAAAACUUACAUGAGUGGUGUGCAUUGCAGAAAAGCCAAGAAAAAAUAGAUCUCAUGAAGGGGGGUGUAAAUCAGGUUGAGCGGGUGGCCACGGAGAUUUUCAAGGCGACGCGUGGAUGGGCGACUGGAGUUCCAAGACUUGGCGCCUCCUAA